UAGCAUCUAAGACACCUUUUUUUAUAUUUUGAUAGAUGAAAAGUGCUCUUCUGACCGGGAAUGAGCACCUGAGCCCCUGGUUGAGGUUGGGCAUGCCAAGGAGCCAGCAUUAUCACUAUGAAACAACACUACCUGUAUCAGCAGUGACAACGAGUGGCUCUGCCUGGGACCUGCCGAGUGGAAUUAGUCUCUAAGGCUCAGAAAAUCUUUUCUGAACCUCUAACCCAAAAAGCACACACAGGGGGCACUUUUUUUUGCAAAGCAAUAUGAGAUACAAACCUCAUUUCAGCCUUUCACAUCCACCAAAUUACCCAAAACACCAUUCAGCUGUGCUACAUGCCACAUGCAAGACUCAAGCAGUCAGUGAGGAGGGAGCCCACACCAGCAUGGAUGGACACGUGAGCUGUCAUCAGCAAUGUACACUGCAGCUGCAUCACCAGGACCUGUAUUUUUCUACUUGUUUUUAUAUCAUAUCCUAUAAAAAGUCAGCUUGGGGCUCUGACAGUCUGCAGGGGAAGCAGGUGGGAAGCUCUCGGAAGACUCAGCAAUCAGUUCCUGUUCCUAAGAAGAACCCUGUGAAAUCAUUCUGGACACCUGCAAAUGCCUUCAUAUCUUAAAGUGAGUAAUUACACUU
Molecule: long non-coding RNA, 634 nt
Filed under: Struthio camelus australis
Lineage: Eukaryota; Metazoa; Chordata; Aves; Struthioniformes; Struthionidae
Description: lncRNA (ENSSCUG00000015193.1)
Source: RNAcentral